This is a long non-coding RNA of Papio anubis (olive baboon), 4942 nucleotides long. The record is from Ensembl. Lineage: Eukaryota; Metazoa; Chordata; Mammalia; Primates; Cercopithecidae.
GGCCUUUCUGAACCUAAUGAACACAGCAGAGCCCAAAGUUGUCAAGAUGUUUCUUGCCGUUAGGCACUGGGGGAGAUUGUCCAUUAAGUCCUGAUGGCAUUGUCAGUUCUGAGGGUAAAGUAGGAGAAAGUUCAGAGCAACCCUUGAAGGAAAGUACAACUGGUAUCAUCACCAUCUAACAGAUAAGAAAAAUGGAGCAUUGGAGUGGUUAGGUAAUUUGGCCCCAAACCACAAAGAGCUCACAUUCAUGGACCUACACUGAUAGAACUUGGAGGAGUCCACAUUAAGCCUUCUUCAUAGUAAUUGAUGAGGAUAUUGGGGUCCAAAGAGCCAAGUCAUCACUGGGGCUUUAGACUGGGGAACCUGGCCUUGGUAGAACUCUUCAGAGUUGCUGAUGUGCCUUUCCACUUACGUGACUCACCUUUCAUUCAGUACCUCCCUUCAAGGAAAGCCCUGUCUCUGGUCCUUGGGCUGGGAUCACACAGAGUUCUUGGGAUGACCCUGGCUCUCCCGCGCCAGCCGCCCUGCUGCCAAGUGCAAGCAUUCGCUCCCAGAUGCUUCGCACAAUUCUUUGCAAAUGUCAUCCAAUCAGUGUCCAGGUGUUCACGGCUCAUCACUGGCUUACUGAUCCGGUCUACAUAACUUGGGGCAUUGCUGUUUAUGCAGGUAUAAAAAAAAAAAAAAAAAAAGAAAGAAAGAAAGAAAGAAAGAAAAGAAAGAAGAACGGCAGCAUCACAGAAUGUGAAUCAGAAUAUUAGUCUGUGGUACUGGGAGAGAAAAAAGAUUCCCCAGAGAGGAUGAAGACCAAACAGACUGCAGACCUGCCAUCUCUCCACGCUGCACUGGGAUUGGCCAUUCGCUGUAUGCACCCGGGAAAAAAAAUUCAGAGGACCAUGCUGUGAUAGCUGAUUUUAGGAAGACAUUCUAGAGAGCACAUGAGUUUUAUUUUUACAAAUGACUUAAUAAUCUGGGGUACCAAGCCAGGGCUGCAGAGGCUGGAAGAGCCCCUGACAGACAUUUGCCACCCCCCAGUGGUGAGCAGAGGAGGAGGAGAUCCAGAGUUACGGGUGGUAGCCGAACAGGGUUUCACAGCAAUUAGAGGUCUACGUUCUCCUUGAGGCAGAGGGGUAACUCCCACAGUGUUAAUGGGAUUUAACAAAGAGAAGGGGAGACUCCAGGGCGGCAUUUCCAGUCGGGGCUUCCACACCAGCAGAAGAGGGACAGAGCUCUGCUGCUUCCAGCCGGACCUGGCAGAGAGUCAUGGGAGCCUGGACCUUACCACGUUGCCUUCAUCAGCAAUUCCGCCCUCCAGCCGGCAUCCUGUGAGGGGUCCCCAACCUGUGGUCGCCCAGCCCCUUCUACGAACCUUGUGAAGAGAAGCUCUCUGUGCCUUGGGCUAGAAAGUUCUCUCACAGUCUAUCCAGUGCUUAAGCUUGCGGGCCUAGGUUUACAUCCCAGCUCUGCUGAGUUUCCAGCUAAGCCUAGUUCCCGCCUCCAUAAAAUGGAGAUAAUAAUGGCACUUACUUCACUUGCGGAUCUAAUGAAAGUCAAGAGCUUAGCACAAUAUUUGACCAUAUAAUGUACUUCUAAGUGAUGAUGAUGAUGAUGAUGAUGAUGAUGAUGAUGUUGAUUAAUUUGGGCCUAGAAUUGACGUCUUAGUCAUAUGAGGCAGAACCUAGUUCUAAGGAAACACACCUCAGUACCUUCAUAGAAACAUUUCAUGAUGAAAACCUAAGCAGUUGUGCAAUGAAAAUCCCUGUCAUUUACAACAGUUCCCCCACCCCCCACGUACUUAGGAUAAAUUAGAACCAGGAUGGGCCAAGUUUCUUGUCUUGCCUGCUCUUUUCCUCAGUGGCAACAGUGUGAUUUAUGGCUCUGAGGGGAGAGCCAACGAAACGCAGUUGUUUCAGCUGACCGUCCCCGUGAGUUUUCAGGUUGAUGUAAAAUCCAAUGGGGUGUGAACUGAAACCCAAGAUCUCCUGAAAACCCCAUGCACUGAGCUCCGUAAGGGACCAAACCAAACCAAAGCUCCCUCCCUCUUGCCUGGCGCUCCUGGAGCUCACAAAAAGCCUGCCACUUGUGAGCCUGUGUGCCUGGAAGGGUCUGCUGCACCUGGCUGGGGGCCCUGGACCACUGUUUCCCUGGCAGCAGCAAGGAGGCAGGUCCUCUGGUCACCCCUGGGGCUGGCCCCAUGCCAGCGACCUCAGAAACUAGGCAGGCUUUUGUCCUGGGGUCUCCUAGGGGUUGCUUACACGGGGAGAGUGAGGCUUUGUUGGAAGACUCUCAGAGGCCUGGCCAGGUUUUCCUCUCACAGCCAAGAAGCAGGUUCUAGUGCUUUCCAAACCCUUGAUACCUUCUAAACUGAAAAGCAGCUGCCCACUCAGAGUUUGGGCUAGGGUAUGGAAAUGCUAAAAACCUUUUCUUUUAAAAGGGAAUUGUUACUGUCUCUCUGAAAAGACUGCAGGGUUUCUGGGAGAUUCUGAAAUGAUGUCUAGAGCUAGAGUCUAAAAAGGUGGAAGGAGAGCUUUCUGGGUCGGGAGUUAAAAGUAUAAGCUCUGGAGGCAGGCAGACCUGGGUGCAAGUCCUAGCUCAUACUCUUCAUAGCUGAGUGACCUUGAGAAAGUCACUGAAUCCCUCUGAGGUUCCCUUUGUUCUUUUGCCCUCUGUUCCCUCUUCAUCUUACCCUGUCUAGCCCAACGUUUUUGGUAGUUCAUGUUCCAGUCAGAAGAAAAGAUCAAUGAGAACUGGGAUUUACAAUAAUUACAAUCAUCAAAAUUAACUGAGUGCAGUGCUCAGCAAUUUAUAUCAAUUUCAUGUAAUCCGCAGAACCCUUUCAUAAGGUAGGCAUUGCACAGAUGUACGUUUUACCAGUGAGGAAACAGAAGUUUAGGAAGGUUGCCAAAAACUUAGAAUGACCUUUCUAAAAUAUGUCCGGUUCUAUUAGUCUUUGGUUUAAAAUCUUACUAUGGAUUUAUCUUCAGGAUAAAAUAAAAUUCUUUAACACAGAAAAAAAGGACGCUUCCAUGCUGUGAGCCUUCAGGAUGCAGUGGUUAACCAGUAUCGUCUUUCUAACUUCCUGACUUGCAAGUCUCCCCUCUGACCACACUGAGCUUUCACCCUUCCGUAGCUGACUGAGGUGUUCUUGAACCUCCAAGACUCUGCACACAAUCUUUUCUUCUUCCUUUGUCUCCUUCUGGAUCUGGCUAACUCUGACUAUCCUUCAAGACAUGGCUCGGGUAUCCCUUUGUCUGUAGAAUAACCUGUAUACCCCCAAAGGUGGGGAUAAACGCCCUUUCUAUACGAUCUUGUAGCUUCUGAGUCUGCUUCUAACAAGGUUAACUCCAAAUUCCUCAGCCCAAGACUGAAGGGAACUCCUUUCACUGCCUUUACCCUAGACUUUCACCUGUGCAGCUCUCUGGCAGCAGGAAGUCCAGGAUGCCCAUGGACCCUUAGCAAGCCAUUCACAGUCCUCGCUUAGGAAAUUUUAGUAGAGUCUGCUGAAUUUGUCUUAAAUAGGCUGGCGACAAUUGUUUUUUAAAAUGUAUACAAGCAUGCACUGCAUAACAACUUUUCAGUCAACAACAGAUCAUAUAUAUGAUGGUAAUCCCAGGACCUGAAAAUAUCCUAUUGCCUGGUGACAUUAUAGCUAUCAAAAUGUGGUAGAGCAACACAUUACUCACUUGUUUGCCAGCUGUAAAAAAGAAUAGCACAUACAAUUACAUACAGUACAUAAUACUUGAUAAGAAUAAAUACUCGAAAAUAAUAUGUUACUGGUUUGUGUAGUUACCGUACUAUAUUUUUCACAGUUAUUUUAGGGUGUACUCCUAUUUACUUAAAAAAGUUAACUAUAAAAAGCCUCAGGCAGGUUCUUCAGGAGGUGUUCCAGAAGAAGGCAUUGUUGUCAUAGGAGGUGACAGCUCUGUGCGUGGGUUAUUUUCCCCAAAGAACUUCCAGUGGGAUAAGAUGUAGAGCUCUUGACCCUGUGCAGGCUAAUGUGCAUGUUUGUGUCUUGGUUUCUAACAAAAAAGUCUAAAAAGCAAAAAAUAGUAACAAUUUUAAAGAUAAAAAAGGUUAUAGAAUAAGGAUAUAAAAAUAUUUUUGUAUAGCUAUACAAUGUAUUUGUGUUUUCAGCUAAGUGCUAUUACAAAAAGUCAAAAUUUUAAAAAUAAGAGUUUAUAAAGAAUGUUCUAAUAACAAAGGUUAAUUUAUUAUUAUUAUUAUUAUUUUUAAUUUAUUUAUUGUUAUUAUACUUUAAGUUGUAGGGUACAUGUGCAUAACGUGCAGGUUUGUUACAUAUGUAUACUUGUGCCAUGUUGGUCUGCUGCACCCAUCAACUCGUCAUUUACAUCAGGUAUAACUCCCAAUGCAAUCCCUCCCCCCUCCCCCCUCCCCAUGAUAGGCCCCGGUGUGUGAUGUUCCCCUUCCUGAGUCCAAGUGAUCUCAUUGUUCAGUUCCCACCUAUGAGUGAGAACAUGCGGUGUUUGGUUUUCUGUUCUUGUGAUAGUUUGCUAAGAAUGAUGGUUUCCAGCUGCAUCCAUGUCCCUACAAAGGAUGCAAACUCAUCCUUUUUUAUGGCUGCAUAGUAUUCCAUGGUGUAUAUGUGCCACAUUUUCUUAAUCCAAUCUGUCACUGAUGGACAUUUGGGUUGAUUCCAAGUCUUUGCUAUUGUGAAUAGUGCUGCAAUAAACAUACGUGUGAGGUUAAUUUAUUAUUGAAGAAAAACUGUUUAUAAAUUUAGUGUAGCCUGAUUUUAUAUAAAAUCUACAGUAGUAUACAGUAAUGUCCUAGGUCUUCACAUUGACUUAUCACUCACUCACCAACUCACCCAGAGCAACUUCCAGUCCUGCAAGCUUCAUUCAUGCCCCAUACAGGUGUACUAUUUAAAAAAUCUUCUAUAGCAUAUAUUUACUCUAGCUUUUCCACGUUGAGAUAUAUUUAAAUA